GGUCUAUUACCGGAUAUGACUGUCCAUCGCAUGGUGGAUGGUGUAAAGCUCCGGCGGUGCAGGAUGAGCCCGCGGCCUAUCAGCUUGUUGGUGAGGUAGUGGCUCACCCCGGCGACAACAGCUAUCCGGCCUGAGAGGGCGACCGGCCACACUGGGACUGAAACACAGCCCAGACUCCUACGGGAGGCGGCAGUGGGGAAUAUUGCACAAUGGGCGAAAGCCUGAUGCAGCGACGCCCCGUGAGGGAGGACGGCCUUCGGGUUGUAAACCUCUUUCCCCUUGGAAGAAACAAAAGUGACGGUACCUGCAAAAGAAGCGCCGGCUAACUACGUGCCAACAACCGCGGUAAUACGUACGGCCCAAGCGUUGUCCGGAAUUAUUGGGCGUAAAGAUCUCGUAUGCGGCUUGUCACGUCGGUUGUGAAAGCCCGGGGCUUAACCCCGGGUCUGCA
RNAcentral lists this ribosomal RNA (451 nucleotides) under Streptomyces sp. NIOT-BARREN01. RNAcentral describes it as "bacterial SSU rRNA". It matches the Rfam family "Bacterial small subunit ribosomal RNA", at positions 160 to 625 of the family's 1533-position model. The record is from RNAcentral. Lineage: Bacteria; Bacillati; Actinomycetota; Actinomycetes; Kitasatosporales; Streptomycetaceae.